UACGAAGGGGGCUAGCGUUGUUCGGAAUUACUGGGCGUAAAGCGCACGUAGGCGGAUCGGUCAGUUAGGGGUGAAAUCCCGGGGCUCAACCCCGGAACUGCCUUUAAUACUGCUGGUCUAGAGUUCGAGAGAGGUGAGUGGAAUUCCGAGUGUAGAGGUGAAAUUCGUAGAUAUUCGGAGGAACACCAGUGGCGAAGGCGGCUCACUGGCUCGAUACUGACGCUGAGGUGCGAAAGCGUGGGGAGCAAACAGG
Molecule: ribosomal RNA, 253 nt
Filed under: uncultured bacterium
Lineage: Bacteria
Description: partial 16S ribosomal RNA
Rfam family: Bacterial small subunit ribosomal RNA
Source: RNAcentral